This 253-nucleotide ribosomal RNA is filed under the name uncultured bacterium. RNAcentral describes it as "partial 16S ribosomal RNA". It matches the Rfam family "Bacterial small subunit ribosomal RNA", at positions 524 to 776 of the family's 1533-position model. The record is from RNAcentral.
UACGGAGGGGGCGAGCGUUAUUCGGAAUUAUUGGGCGUAAAGGGCGCGUAGGCGGCCUGAUAAGUCAAAGGUGAAAUCCCUCGGCUCAACUGAGGAAUUGCCUUUGAAACUGUCAGGCUUGAGGCCGGGAGGGGGUGGCGGAAUUCCCAGUGUAGCGGUGAAAUGCGUAGAUAUUGGGAGGAACACCAGUGGCGAAGGCGGCGACCUGGACGGACACUGACGCUGAGACGCGAAAGCGUGGGGAGCAAACAGG